This is a non-coding RNA of Camellia sinensis, 288 nucleotides long. Lineage: Eukaryota; Viridiplantae; Streptophyta; Magnoliopsida; Ericales; Theaceae. The record is from RefSeq and is a predicted model, not a curated record.
AUUCUGCAUCCCUUAUGAUUGAGACUUCCUGCAGGAUGGCUAGCUAAAGCUGCAGAAACAAGUGAUUCAUAUGUUCAUGGAAGCUAUCAUAUUUAUGCUGUAUUGGUUGGUUUAUUUUCAUCAAUAACUGGUGGAAUCAGCUACUGCCUUACAAGGGCUGGAGCAAAGGCAUCUGAUCAACCAGUGGUCACAGUUUUUUCAUUUGGAGUGCUUGCUAGCCCUGCUUCAAUAAUAUGUACAUUUGCUUUUGAGGUAAGUUCAUGCUAUGGCCAAUCUAAUUUUAUUAAA